AGAGUUUGAUCAUGGCUCAGGACGAACGCUGGCGGCGUGCCUAAUACAUGCAAGUCGAGCGGAAUUUUAAGAGCUUGCUCUUAAAAUUUAGCGGCGGACGGGUGAGUAACACGUGGGCAACCUGCCCUGUAGACUGGGAUAACUUCGGGAAACCGAAGCUAAUACCGGAUAAUCUUUUUUGUCACAUGGCAGAAGAGUAAAAGUUGGGUUUUACCUAACACUACGGGAUGGGCCCGCGGCGCAUUAGCUAGUUGGUAAGGUAACGGCUUACCAAGGCGACGAUGCGUAGCCGACCUGAGAGGGUGAUCGGUCACACUGGGACUGAGACACGGCCCAGACUCCUACGGGAGGCAGCAGUAGGGAAUCUUCCGCAAUGGACGAAAGUCUGACGGAGCAACGCCGCGUGAACGAUGAAGGCCUUCGGGUCGUAAAGUUCUGUUGUUAGGGAAGAACAAGUACCGUUCAAAUAGGGCGGUACCUUGACGGUACCUAACCAGAAAGCCACGGCUAACUACGUGCCAGCAACCGCGGUAAUACGUAGGUGGCAAGCGUUGUCCGGAAUUAUUGGGCGUAAAGCGCGCGCAGGCGGUCCUUUAAGUCUGAUGUGAAAUCUCGUGGCUCAACCACGAGCGGCCAUUGGAAACUGGGGGACUUGAGUACAGAAGAGGAGAGUGGAAUUCCAUGUGUAGCGGUGAAAUGCGUAGAUAUAUGGAGGAACACCAGUGGCGAAGGCGACUCUCUGGUCUGUAACUGACGCUGAGGCGCGAAAGCGUGGGGAGCAAACAGGAUUAGAUACCCUGGUAGUCCACGCCGUAAACGAUGAGUGCUAGGUGUUAGGGGUUUCGAUGCCCUUAGUGCCGAAGUUAACACAUUAAGCACCCCGCCUGGGGAGUACGGCCGCAAGGUUAAAACUCAAAUGAAUUGACGGGGGCCCGCACAAGCGGUGGAGCAUGUGGUUUAAUUCGAUGCAACGCGAAGAACCUUACCAUCCCUUGACAUCCAGAGAGCUUACUAGAGAUAGUUUGGUGCCUUCGGGAACUCUGAGACAGGUGCUGCAUGGCUGUCGUCAGCUCGUGUUGUGAAAUGUUGGGUUAAGUCCCGCAACGAGCGCAACCCUUAUCCUUAGUUGCUAGCGGUUAGGCCGAGAACUUUAAGGAGACUGCCGGUGAUAGACCGGAGGAAGGUGGGGACGACGUCAAGUCAUCAUGGCCCUUACGGGAUGGGCUACACACGUGCUACAAUGGCGUAUACAGAGGGCAGCGAGACCGCGAGGUGGAGCGAAUCCCAGAAAGUACGUCGUAGUCCGGAUUGGAGUCUGCAACUCGACUCCAUGAAGUCGGAAUCGCUAGUAAUCGUAGAUCAGAAUGCUACGGUGAAUACGUUCCCGGGCCUUGUACACACCGCCCGUCACACCAUGGGAGUGGGUUGCAAAAGAAGUAGCUAGUCUAACCUUCGGGGGGACGGUUACCACUUUGUGAUUCAUGACUGGGGUGAAGUCGUAACAAGGUAACC
RNAcentral lists this ribosomal RNA (1512 nucleotides) under uncultured bacterium. RNAcentral describes it as "partial 16S ribosomal RNA". It matches the Rfam family "Bacterial small subunit ribosomal RNA". The record is from RNAcentral.